RNAcentral lists this ribosomal RNA (253 nucleotides) under uncultured bacterium. Its description in RNAcentral is "partial 16S ribosomal RNA". It matches the Rfam family "Bacterial small subunit ribosomal RNA", at positions 524 to 776 of the family's 1533-position model. The record is from RNAcentral.
UACGUAGGGUGCGAGCGUUAAUCGGAAUUACUGGGCGUAAAGCGUGCGCAGGCGGUUCGCUGUGUCCUGUGUGAAAGCCCCGGGCUUAACCUGGGAAUGGCAUGGGAAACUGGCGAGCUUGAGUGCGGCAGAGGGGGGUGGAAUUCCGCGUGUAGCAGUGAAAUGCGUAGAGAUGCGGAGGAACACCGAUGGCGAAGGCAGCCCCCUGGGUCGACACUGACGCUCAGGCACGAAAGCGUGGGGAGCAAACGGG